Acanthosepion pharaonis is the source of this 107-nucleotide non-coding RNA. The record is from the annotation of a GenBank genome assembly. NCBI's taxonomy places the organism in Eukaryota, Metazoa, Mollusca, Cephalopoda, Sepiida, Sepiidae.
ACAACCAUAUCACCUUGCAACACCGGUUCCCGUAUGAUCAUCGAAGUUAAGCAACGUCGAGUCUGGUCAGUACCUAGUGACCGCAUAGGAAUACUAAGUACUGUAAG